GUACGCCUAAAGCGAACGUAAGCCGAGCAGAACAGCGCCGUUAAUCUAUUUGCUGCAGGAGCUGCCACUCAGAGUCCUGUAUCCCACUCACGCACGAGGGCGGUGCUUGAAGAUGAGUCAGUCUUUGCUCGCGGCCAUUUCGGAUGUGAGACGAGGGAGUUGUUAAGGUUGUUGCACCCAGUGCGGGCUGGAGGAUUCCCCAACUUCGAUCGGAGGUGCAGAUUACUCUCGGCAGCCACAGGUUGGGCGCUGGGGAUAACGUUUACAUGAAUAAGAGACUUUUUAAGCAAGGGUACAGUUAUUAAGUGUACUGGUGUGAUACUGGGAGUACCCCAAGAGGCACCACUCAGAGCGUGCUGUCCGCCUCCUUGAUCGAAGACAACAAAAGACGAAUAUCUACCCUGGGAGAAAACCUAAAGGGACUAUGUUUGGAAGAGCAGGGGCAGGAGGAAAAAGAAGAGAAGGAUUCACUAGAGGGCGUUAUUUCAGCAAGAAAGGGAGAAGGGAUCAAAGGAAAGGAGAAGUGGGGGAGAGGGGCAGUUGGAAAUUGAAGAAGGCAAAGCUUGUUGGGUACAGGAGGAGGAUGAAAGAAAGAAGGACUGGGUGUAAAUAGUACAAGACGACCCCCAGACAGGGGAGUGGACAGAGUUUAGGGUCCCUAGGCAGUAUGCCGAAAAGGAAUGGAAGAAAAAGUCUACAGAAAGACAUCUUAUUGGGGCAAGAAGGAAAAGAGAAAGAAGGAAAAGGUUUAGAGAGUGGCAGCAGAAGGAGGCCCAGAGGCAAGACAACAAGCCAUGUACAGAUCCUCCUGGGAAACCCUGUGGGGCGAAUCCAUUUCGAAUGAGGUUGAGGCAAAAUCCGGGCAAGAAAGUUUGGGAACCACAGGUGGGGUGGGUUUUCCACCCUCCCCAAUAAGGUUAAUAGGUGUACCCAAUAGAUCAGGCAUUCCACAGAAAUGGUGUUAUAGAGAUUUAAGUUCCUCCCUACUGCCGUUAAAAGGGGAUUUGUUAUGGUUUGAUGGAAAAGGAGAAAACGACAUGUCCCUGAAGCAGGAGAUGGAAUCUGUU
Pogona vitticeps (central bearded dragon) is the source of this 1067-nucleotide non-coding RNA. Lineage: Eukaryota; Metazoa; Chordata; Lepidosauria; Squamata; Agamidae. The record is from RefSeq and is a predicted model, not a curated record.